Long non-coding RNA from Leopardus geoffroyi (Geoffroy's cat), 7306 nucleotides. RefSeq lists it as uncharacterized. The transcript has 4 exons. Lineage: Eukaryota; Metazoa; Chordata; Mammalia; Carnivora; Felidae. The record is from RefSeq and is a predicted model, not a curated record.
AACAACAAAUGCUUUGAAAGUCUAACAGACCUGGAUUUAAUUCUAACACCCCAAUACUGUCUGGGUGAUGCUGGCCACAAUACACAAGAUCUUUGGUCCUCAGUUUCCUCAUCUGAAAAAUAUUAGCACCUGCCGCAAAGGACUGAUAUAAGGACAAAAUUAUAGUAAGCGCAUGAAGCCCAAAGAACACUGCUGGAGACACACUAGGCAUUCAAUAAGUGGUAGUUAUCACUCCUGCCCCAUUCUAAAAAUAUAAAAAGGAAGAAGUUAUACUUCAAUAUAACUUAUUUUUUUUUAAAUAAAAAUGAAAGCAUGAAAGACUCUACAGACUGACCCGAGGCUGGGAGAGGGGGCAUAGUGAGGGGAGCAAGGUACAAACUUAAAUGUGAAUUUUCCAGCACCCUUUUUAAUGAUGAGAUUUUUUUGCUUUAGGAAACUAAAGGCUAAUCUGUCACUUAAGAUGGAAAAUUAAAGCCUUUUCCUAUUGUGGUAAGUGUCUCAGUGCUGCAUGGAACUAUUCCCUCUCUUUAUCUACAAACCUCUAGCACUUUUACUAUUCAUGAAAAAUAGGGGUUUGGUUUUUUUUUUUUUUUUUUCUAAAGCAAGUUUUACAUCUGAAGCAAAGUUUUAUUUUCCAGGCAGUCAGUCUGUCCUUCUGUACUAAGGAGCCGUGUUUAGGUUUCGGCAAUUCAUGUCGGAAAGCAAGUGGAUGUUCGUUUGCCCAGCUGGUGUCCUUCCUGCUCAGUGGCCCUAUUUUCAGAUAUUUGGACCACCAAGGGACUUCUGACCAGUUUGGCUUUGGACCUUAGGCUGAAGGCAGGGAGCCUCACGCUGUGGGUGGGAGAGGACAGCAGCAUGUCAGGUGGACAGCUGCUUGGUGGGCAUAAGGAAACCCUGCACCCCCGCGUCCUGACACUCUGGUUGGAAACAGCAGUUCAGACGGUCCCACGGUCCUGGGAAUCUACUGGCCUCACACUGGUCAACAGAUGUCAAGAAAACCAAAAUACCAAGCCUAUCAUGACCAAUUUUUCACUUCUUUGAUUAUUCUGGUAUCAGCCAGACCACCUCAGUCUCUGUUGCUUUUUGUUUUCCAUUUCCAUCUUUGAAAUUUGAAUAAUGUCAGUCAUCCAAUAACACCUACAAAGUAGUUUGAAACACUUUGAAAGUUGUUUCAUGGCGCUGCUUUUUCAAACCCUAGUGGUCUGCUUUCUGAUAAGAAUAAUUGAUACCUGCAUGGUGAUUUACACUCAUUCUCCCAUACGGAGCUUCACAGCUGCCCUGUAAAGUUGACUGGCUAAGGAUUCUUAUCUCCAUUUUAUAGAUGAAAAAUGUAAGGCUUGAUUCCUCAGAACUCUCAAAAAAAGAUCAAGUCAAAGAAUGUGACCCCAGUCAUUUUUCUAGCCGUAGUCUUAUUUAUUUUUUACUUUUGCUAACUAACAUCUUUGAAAGUUUUUUAGCCCAACAUGGAUUAUUUUCGAAGGAAAAAAACAAUAUAAAUGACUUAACAUGACACAAUGGUUACAAAGUAAAUAGAGCUUAAUUGAGUAAUCAAGUCAACAUUUCUGCCCACAGGCUAUAUGGGGAAGAACAUUCAUUUACUGUCUGGAUUUUGGCUUGGUUCUCUAAAGGACAGGAGACAAGAUUAUUUUAUUUUCUUUUUAGCUAGGUUCAAGCAGGCAAUACCAAGUGUAGCCAAGUGUAUUAAAAGAAACCCCCCCUCGGCAGAUUGGCAGUGUGAAUAUUUCAUGAAAUUAUCACAACACUAUGUUCUGAAAUGGUGGUUUCCCCCAGGGAUCUCAAAGGCCACAUCUUUAAGGGUGAGUCUAGCUCAUGCCCCUGUCUUAAAGCUAGAGAUCAAGUCAGCCUAAAAGGCCUUCCAGUUUUCAAUUUAUAAGAGCAUCAAACAAGUCAGCCAACAAACACUUCAAGGAUGAUGGGAAUGUCAGAGGCAGGUCCUAGAUGAAUUCCUUUCCAUGUGCUGAUUUAAACCAGGGCUCCUUAUUUAAACGUCUCCUGGGCAGAGCCCUGUCAUAGAAGACCAGCCCUGACAAAGAAGCAAGGAGAAGCCUUUGUUCUUCCAACUCAGGUAGAGUCCACGGCAGCCGGUCCUCUGGCCAGCCUGCAACUUAAAUGUCCCCACGGUUUCUACCCUGCAGUGAUGUGACUCCAUGCACUGGCCAACAGCAAAGCCAGUCCACGAAGAACUGCCAACAGUUCGCCAAGGGAAGUCCUACAGAACAGCUCGCCUCUCAUCACCCCACUCCCUCACAGAGGCUGAAAUGAGCCUAGAGCGGGACAGAAAGGAAGUACACAAAUAAAAACAGCUUGGAGCUAUAUCUGUUUGCAGACGGAAUAGUGAUCUGAAUUUUGUUGGAGGUCCUUGUGGACAUGUAUGAACUUUUACUCUGCAGCCUGAGAAAUUAUUUUUAAACCUUUCCAAUGAUAGCUACCCCCACCCCACUCCAACUCUGUUUCCAAAUCUAACAUCUCAGCAGUGAUUUUAAGUCAGUACAAAGGUGGGAUUGGACAGAGGUAGAAUAGGGAGAGGUUGAAAGGUUGAUUAAGCAAAAUUUUACCAGAAAUACUAAGCAAUGCUUUCUUAUCAGGUUUAACAUAUACCAAGUGUGGUCAAGAGAAAGCAGGAGGAAAAAGAGCCUGAAGACCUUGUUUUCUGUCACAUCCGUGCCUGAGUGACUGACUCUUUAGGAGCCUUUGUUUUCGUAACUAGAAACAGAGUUUGUCCUAAGGUUCCUUAAAAUGCUUUGAUCCUAGAAAGUAAAUUCCCAGAGACAUUACAUUUAUUCUACGUAUGUUUGACAAACCCUUCAAAGCUCAUGAAUCUAGAACCACCCCCUCCCCACCCUCUCUCUGUGUCUCUCUCUCACACACACACACACACACACACACACACACACACACGCACACAGUGCAGCAAGAAGAUGUUUUUAAGUGAACAUGUUAUGGACAGCAAUGGUCUGGUGAGGUUUUGGGAAGGGGAGGAACUUUUGGCUUCUUGCCAGUUAAUCCACCCUUUCCUCAUUCUCUGGCUCUGAGCCAGAUUUACUAUUCUUUUCAUUCCCUUGGUCUCUGGGGAAGGGCCUAUUUUCAACCUCUGUUUGACUCCCCAACUCCAGGCCCAAACUGCUUUCCUUAUGUCCCUUAAAUCCCCACUUGAUUUAAUUCAGUUCCGCAAGUUGUAACUGUGUUCCCCAAACUACCCCCCCACCCUGGACACAUCCCGGUCAUCUGGGCCUCUUCCUGCGUCCUUCUCCCAACAGCUGGCUUCCUGAAGCUCCCAGCCAUUUCACAACUCUGCUCCUCUACUCCCCUCCUGGGCCCCCACCCACACAGGGCACAGACUACAACUGCAGCAUGGCUCUCAGGGUCCCAAGCCUCCUAGGAACCCGAGACUCUGCUCCAGUUGCCUUCUUGCCACGAGCACCUACCUCCAAGUGCUCCUACACCAUGGAGGGAAAGAAGCCAGGUCUGUGGCAAUGUUCUAGGUGUGCACCUCCUAGGGUCAGUAAAGCCUCAUCUUGAAUACAGAAUCACUCCAUCUGGGAAUUAAAAUACAUCGAAGACCUUUCCUGUAGUACCUAGGCUAUUGGUUCAAACCAUCACAUUCACCACUUCAGCCCUCCAUGCUGCUUUUCUGACCCAGGUUCAGUUAAAGUCUAUGGACCUGGGUUUAGAACAGCACUGAAAAUCAUUCCAUUUUCCCAGAGGGAUCCUGUCACUUUUACUUGUUUUAUACAGUAUCUAACCUUGAGGUACAUGUAAACAGGUGUUUACUAAAUUAUUUUCAUAAUGACAGCCAUGGCUUGGAGUGUUGUUUCAUUAUCAGAAUGUUUAGCACUCAUGUUGCUAAAUAUUCAGCACCUGAUAUUUUGCAAAACAAUUCCCCAUGCCUUUUUUUUUAAAUCAGUCUUCUGCUCUCCUCCACAGUGCCCAGCAUUAACUGAGGCAACAGUGAAGAUGGGAUCUAAAAACAGACUAAAUUAGUGUGAUCAUUUGCUAAUUGGCUUUGCUCUUAAGUCUUCAGGUGUUUCCCAAACAAUCUAUCAGUUUUCUUUAGUCCAUACUGGAAAAUAAAAUUGUCUCUUACUUUUGAAUGCAGAGCACUGAUUUUGGAGUCCCAGCAAGGAAAAGUGGGGAUGACGCCAGCUGACCUGUUACUACCAUGUAACAAACAGAUGCCUCACCAGGCAGGAAGAAUUACUGAAAAGGAAGAAAACGCUAUGGUCCACUCAUUCACCCCUUCUUAACCUGAUAGCAAGAGGUUCUCAGACCUCACAGAAUUUGCCACAACAACUAAGAAGGCCAACUGAAGGGAUAGAAAAGAAACAACCAAGAGUUGGAAAACAUCACUGAAAAUUAGAACAAAUCUCAGUUACUGACUAACCUGGGUCUCGGGAGCUCUUCUGCCAUUACCCAGCAUGAGCCCAGCCAGACUCAUAAACAGAAAUCAGCUGUGAAGUGUACCCAGUUGUUUUUGUGGUUUUUUUUUCCCCUAAUAAAGUUAGGAAAACGCCUUCUUGCCUUUGAGCUGACAAGCUCUGUAACCCUAUAGGUUAGGGUUUCCAAAUCCCAAAUUUCUGGUCACCUCAUAUUCCACUGGGCUUGGGAAGUCCUGGCCCCUCUGGUUACUAAAACAUCUAUGGUAAAUCAGGGAGAAAAUUAAUAUACAGCCAUAACAAGUUCAGCUAAUCACCCAAAAGGCUCCCUCAAGGCUGAGUAGGAUGCUGUUUUAGAGGUAAACAGAAGUCUGAGGUAAGAGUGUGCAAAAGUGGGAGAAAUCCAAAGUGGGUUUUCUUUACCAGAGGGUGGCAAGGUCACUGAGGGCCUCAGUCACACUGGGGGGUCCUCUGGUGUGUGUGCUGGCACGGGAACACACACUGGUCUUUGGGGUUCUCUGCACUGGGGCAGGUAUAGGCAUAAGCAAAGAGUCACAGCACACAGGAAAUUCUCUCCAAACUCUCCCAAUAUCUUUCCUCACCAAACCCAGGGAGACUGCCCCUUUCCUGACUCCUAAGCCCUGGAAUGCCACCUACUGGGAGAGGCAGAAAGCACAUCCACUUUAGGUCUUCUAGGUCUGCAUUCAUUCGUUCUCACCAGCAUGCAUUCAUUCAUGUAUCAAGGGCCUGAAUGAGUGGGGACCUGUGCCAGAAGUAAGGGUACAAAGAUCAGCAGGGCCUCAAAAUCCCCAUUCGGUAUGCUUCAGUGUUAAGUCCAAAGUCUUAUAUACAUAGAUGAACCCACCUAGGACAAUGUUCACUCAAAGAAAAAAAUGCAGGAAGAGUUCAAGUCAUCACCAAGACUCUGAGAGGCAGCUGCAGGGGCUAACAGCUCACCGUUUCAUCUGCAAAGUACUAUACCUGUAACAUCUACUUGUAGAGAACAAUUCUCCACUUAAUAUGAGGUAGAAAUGUCCAAACAGUCUUAGGGGGCUGCAUUACCAAUAUUCCUCUCCACAACUCACUGGGUCCCCAAAGUGCAUUAAACUCUUGUGUAAUCUGAAAUCUUUUCCUUAUUCAGUGUGUGUGUGUGUGUGUGUGUGUGUAUGUGUGUGUGUGCGUAUGUGUGUGUGCGCGCAUUUAAAUGCUCUUAGCAUGUGCUCUAUGGAAAUAAUGAAUAAUUGGUUCUUGUAAUAUAGUUUAUUAUGUAGUAUUCUGAUACACUGUAAAUUAUCAGAGCAAUACUAGGAAUGAUAUUUUGAGCCUCAAUAGCCCCUUUUCUCCAGUUUCCUCCAUGCAGUACCCAGAGAAAGAGAAGCUAAUGUCAUGCUUUCUAUAACCCACACAAGCUAAGGUGCAAGCAACAUUGUCUAUGACCAUUUGUAAAGAGAGUUAACUGUGAUCAUUAUUAUUAUUAUUACUUUACUAUGAUGAUUACUAUUCUGCCGUAUUGCUAAGUAGUUAAAAGAAAAGCACAGUAUGUCUUCCCUCCCAGAACACAUGUUUCUCCCCUCUGCCUUGUCUCCAGCAGAUAAGGGACAUUCUGAUGUUUUAUUUGCUAACUGGUUGACUAUUAAGAAACUCAUUUGCUAGCUGGAGCCUGCAAUGGAAAAUCAGCCCAGAAAAGCGGGAGGUUGGCGUGGGACCGAGUAGAUAGGGCACCAGAAGUGAGGCAAGGCCCACAUGAGCCACUCCCAGCCUGAAGCCCAGGGUCAAAAGCCAGUCCUUCAGUGAACCUUCAGGCUAUCCCAAUGCACUGGCCACCGGUCUCCAUAUCCCAACUCUCAAUGCACACGCGCGCACACACACACACACACACACACACACAGCACUGAAAAGCUGGGGAGAAAGGGCCAGUGCAUCCAGUGCCUUCAACUCUGUCAGGAAGAGAAGAAUGUAAAGCCCCACCAUUGGCAACUUUUUCAGUUCUCCACUCUUUGGUUCGCCACCAUCACUGAUCUGAGGUGUAUACUUGAACUAAGAAAAAGACUACAAAGGCUUCACACCAAAAUGUUGACAAGAGCUUUCUUUGGGAAGUAGGAUCACAGGUACAUUCUUCUUUUUUUCUGUAUGACCCAAGGCUGCCAGGGAAGAAAUGAAUCAGAAGGCUCUGCCUCAAUGUGCCUUCCAAGAAGUUACCUACCCUCUGUACCUCAGUAAGGCCAUGUGCAUCAGUGAAGUGGCACCAUUGGAACAUCGGUGCAGCGGUUUUGCAUCAGGACAACUUAACUAAUUCCUUCCUAGAAUUACCUUCUGUAUGUAGUUCCUCAGGAUUGCCUACAACAGAUAUUUGUGGAGCAUUCGGAAGGUAGAAGUGAAACGGCAGCUUUCAUGUUGUGAAGGUCAGUGUGUGGCUACGGGGGCUGCUUCAAACUUGUCAACACAUUGUGACCCAUCUGGGGACUUUCCCUGUUGGUGUGGGCCCACAGCCUUCCCCAGCUCCUGCCACAUCUUCCCCUUCAGCUACUCUGAGUCUGGAGCAAAGCUUAUGUCCCGUUCUGUGGUAAAGGGUACCAGCUUUUGGUUUCAAAGUCAAGGCUGAAAGUGGCAAGAGAAAAAUAAAAGUUACUUUGGGGGUUUCACUUUCGCCUCACUCUCUCCCACCUCACAUCUGGCUUUUCUUCCAGACUUCUGGCCCUGCUGAUCUAUAGCUACUUCAGACCCAUCACUGGAGUGCACUUCUCAAUUACUCUGUACCUGUACACACUGUGGGACUAGUUCCGACUAAUGAAAUCUGGUGCAGCUACAAGACUGAGAAGCAUCCAUCAGCCUAGAUCCCUGAGUGACUUUGUGCAGCAGAACCUCUCCCACAAACCCCCUCUGGAUAUAUAGAAUGAGCAAGAAAUAAGCAU